CAAAUGAGGUGAAUAAAUAAAGCUAUGCUUAAAAUAGUUAACUACAUGCCUAGAUUUAAAGGCUGAUGGCCCAGCUGUUAGUACCAACAAAAAUCCCAGGAAAGCUAUAUGUAGCAUUAUCAGAUUGUGGUCAUGGAAAAGCCAAGCAAUACAAUUGCAUGGUGCUUUUCACUCUGUAGACAGAUGUAGGGCAUGCUCAAAAAUCAGAAAGCACAUUCCUGAGCCUAUGGGUUUAUCACCUUAAAAAAUUUAUCCAAAAAAAAAAAAAAAAAAGAUAAAAGGAGUUCCUGUCAUGGCUCAGCAUAAACAAAUGAAUCUGACUAGUAUCCAUGAGGAUCCAUGAGGCAAUCCCUGACCUUGCUCGGUGAGUUAAGGAUCCAACGUUGCUGUGAGCUGUGGUGUAGGAUGCAGAUUCGGCUCAGAUCUCAUGUUGCUGUGGCUGUAGUGUAGGCCGGUGGCUAUAGCUCUGAUUCAUCCCCUAGCCUGGGAACCUCCAUAUGUUGUGGGCGUGGCCCUAAAAAGACAAAAAAAAUUGACUCCAUUGAAGAAAAUACUAAGUUUAUACCAAUAAGGUAGAGAAAUAAUAAAAUCUUCAUUAAGAUUAGAAAAAUGUAAACAUCUAACAAUAUUUAGAAAUAUAUUUCUCUAAAUUUUUCCUUUAAAUUUUCUUUCCUUUAAACUUGAUGACCAUUUGAAUGCCUAAUUUUGCAAGUCCUUGUGCUAGCCAAAGGCGAUAUAAAUGCCAGGCGAUAUAAACGUCUUUCAAGGAACAGUCUGUGGGUAGAGAUCAGACAAUUAAAAGUGUUUAAAAUGCAUUUAUAUAUUUAUUGCAAUCAUAUGCAAUAAUGUACAAAAUAACGCCUUGUAGACCUUAAAUUUACCCAAUGUUAUAUGUCAAUUACAUCUCAAAGAUACUUAUCAUAGCGUCAGGGCUAUGAUAAGAGUAGUUGAUUUACAAUAUUGUCCCAAUUUCUGCUAUACAGCAAAGUGACCCAGUCAGACAUAUAUGUAUCCCCUUACAUUACCCUCCAUCAUGGUCUGGCUAUGGCACCCUGUGCUAUACAGUAGGACCUUAUUUCUUAUCUAUUCUAAAUGUAAUAAUUUGCAUCUACUAACCCCAAACUCCCAGUUCAACUCCCUCCCUCCCUCUUUCCCCUUGGCAACCACAAGACUGUCCUCUGUGUCUGUGAGUCUGUUUCUGUUUUGUAGAUAGGUUCAUUUGUGCCAUAUUAGAUUCCAAAUAUAACUGAUAUCAUAUGGCAUUUGUCUUUCUCUUUCUGACUUCACUUGGUAUGAAAAUCUCUAGUUCCAUCCAUGUUGCUGCAAAUGGCAUUAUUUUGUUCUUUUUUAUGUCUGAGUAGUAUUCCACUGUGUAUAUGUACCCACAUCUUCUGAAUCCAUUCAUCUGUUGAUGGACAUUCAUGUUGUUUCUUUGUCUUGGCUAUUGUGAAUAGUGCUGCAAUGAGCAUACAGGUGCAUGCAUUUUUUAAAUGAAAAUUUAGUCCAGAUAUAUGCCCAGGAGCGGGUUAGCUGGAUCAUAUGUUAGUUCUAUGUUUAGUUUUCUGAGGGUCCUCUAUACUAUUUUCCAUAGUGGUUGUACCAGUUUACAUCCUCAUCAACAGUGUAGGAAGGUUCUCUUUUUCCACACCUCUCCAGCAUUUGUUAUUUACAGACUUAUUAAUGAUGGACAUUGUGACUGGUAUGAGGUGGUACCUCACUGUAGUUUUUAUUUGCAUUUCUCUAAUAAUUAGUGAUUUUGAGCAUCUUUUCUGUGCCUAUUUGCAAUCUCUAUGUGUUCCUUGAAUAAAUGUCUGCCUAUUUUUCGAAUGGGUUGUUUGUUUUGUUGUUGUUGUUGAGUUUAUGAGUUAUUUGUAGAUUUUGGAAGUUAAUCCCUUAUCAGGUCAUGUUGUUUUCAAAUAUUUUCUCUCAUUCUUUAGGCUGUAUUUUCGAUUUACUUAUGGUUUCCUUUUCUGUGCAAACGCUUGCAAAUCUGAUGAGGUCUCUUUUAUUUAUUUUGUUUUAUUUUUAUUGCUUGGGAGACCCAACCUAAGAAAGUCAGAGAAUGUUUUGUCUAUGUUUUCUUGUAGGAGUUUUAUGGUUUCAUAUCUUAUGUUUAAAUCUUUAAGCUGUUUUCACUUUAUUUUUGUGCAUGGUGUGAGGGUAUUUUCUAGUUUCUUUAAGUUGAGGUCUUAAAGUUUAUGUUAACCAGACAGAACAAAAAAAAAAGCAGGCCAGUCAGAGGCAACAUGAUGUGCAGCAAGCCUGGAAUUAAGAGAUGGCUUAAAUAUUAGAACCAAACAAACAAAGACGCCAAAGCAGUGUCCCUGACAGAUUAAGAUAAUCUGAUUAAAAAUUGUAAGCUAUCUACAAAAAAAGAAAAAUGCUUUACAAAUAUGGGACAAUCUAUAUAUAUAUAAAU
This 2419-nucleotide long non-coding RNA is filed under the name Sus scrofa (pig). Its description in RNAcentral is "lncRNA (ENSSSCG00060008942.1)". The record is from RNAcentral. Lineage: Eukaryota; Metazoa; Chordata; Mammalia; Artiodactyla; Suidae.